This 475-nucleotide ribosomal RNA is filed under the name uncultured organism. RNAcentral describes it as "partial 16S ribosomal RNA". It matches the Rfam family "Bacterial small subunit ribosomal RNA", at positions 332 to 798 of the family's 1533-position model. The record is from RNAcentral.
UACACUCCUGCGGGAGGCAGCAGUGGGGAAUUUUGGACAAUGGGCGAAAGCCUGAUCCAGCCAUGCCGCGUGCAGGAUGAAGGCCUUCGGGUUGUAAACUGCUUUUGUACGGAACGAAACGGCCUUUUCUAAUAAAGAGGGCUAAUGACGGUACCGUAAGAAUAAGCACCGGCUAACUACGUGCCAGCAGCCGCGGUAAUACGUAGGGUGCAAGCGUUAAUCGGAAUUACUGGGCGUAAAGCGUGCGCAGGCGGUUAUGUAAGACAGUUGUGAAAUCCCCGGGCUCAACCUGGGAACUGCAUCUGUGACUGCAUAGCUAGAGUACGGUAGAGGGGGAUGGAAUUCCGCGUGUAGCAGUGAAAUGCGUAGAUAUGCGGAGGAACACCGAUGGCGAAGGCAAUCCCCUGGACCUGUACUGACGCUCAUGCACGAAAGCGUGGGGAGCAAACAGGAUUAGAAACCCUAGUAGUCCCAU